This is an RNA transcript of Olea europaea var. sylvestris, 1659 nucleotides long. It is a transcript of the gene named phytochrome-associated serine/threonine-protein phosphatase-like, with no coding region annotated. The record is from RefSeq and is a predicted model, not a curated record. The transcript is spliced from 11 exons. NCBI's taxonomy places the organism in Eukaryota, Viridiplantae, Streptophyta, Magnoliopsida, Lamiales, Oleaceae.
UAUAUUAUUUUUAUAUAUAAAAGGACAAGGUAAGAAAUCGGGGAAGAAGAUGAGGGUUUCGAAAAUUGUGUGAAUCUUCACAGUAGAGUUAAUAUUUAAUUUCUGAAUGCCUUCCAAUUCCGGUCAAGCCCCUCUCUUUUGAUCUGUAUUAAUAUAUCUACAAACUAGUAAUUGGCAAAUAGAGGUAUAUCCAUUUAAUUGUUGAAGAAUAUCAGAAGAAGAAUUAAGGGAAAUGGAUUUGGAUAAUUGGAUAGCGAACGUUAAAGAGGGUCAGCACUUGUCUGAAGAUGAGCUUCAACUCCUCUGCGAAUAUGUUAAGGAGAUAUUGAUUGAGGAGUCAAAUGUUCAGCCUGUAAAUUGUCCUGUGACAAUAUGUGGGGACAUCCACGGACAGUUCCAUGAUUUGAUGAAACUCUUUCAGACUGGAGGUCAUGUACCGGAGACAAAUUACAUUUUUAUGGGAGAUUUUGUUGACCGUGGUUACAAUAGCCUAGAAGUUUUCACAAUUCUUUUGCUUCUCAAAGCAAGAUACCCAGCUAAUAUUACUCUCCUACGUGGAAAUCAUGAAAGCAGGCAAUUGACUCAGGUCUAUGGAUUUUAUGAUGAAUGUCAAAGGAAGUAUGGAAAUGCAAAUGCUUGGCGGUAUUGCACAGAUGUUUUUGACUAUCUAACUCUUUCAGCAAUUAUUGAUGGAACGGUACUUUGUGUGCACGGCGGGUUAUCCCCAGAUGUUAGAACUAUCGAUCAGAUUCGAGUUAUUGAUCGGAACUGUGAAAUCCCCCAUGAAGGGCCUUUCUGUGACCUAAUGUGGAGUGAUCCUGAAGAUAUUGAGACAUGGGCUGUGAGUCCUAGAGGAGCAGGCUGGCUUUUUGGGUCCAGGGUUACUUCUGAGUUCAAUCACAUUAACAAACUUGAUCUAGUUUGCCGAGCCCACCAACUUGUACAAGAAGGUCUGAAGUACAUGUUUCAAGAUAAAGGACUUGUAACUGUGUGGUCUGCUCCAAACUAUUGUUACCGUUGCGGAAAUGUUGCCUCGAUAUUAAGCUUCAAUGAGAAUAUGGAGAGAGAGGUGAAGUUCUUCACAGAGACCGAGGAGAACAACCAGAUGCGAGGACCCAGGACUGGAGUACCCUAUUUUCUAUGAUUGAAACUUGAUUCCACUUACAUUUCAGAUAUAACUUUGGCACCCAGUACUACGAACUGCAUUUGGUGUAGAGGCUAAGGAAGAAUGAGUGGAGAAACGUUCACUAGAUUCUAACAUGUCAGUGCUGAAGUAUAAAUUAUGUAAACCUUGGUGAAUAUUACUACAGAUGGUUCUGAUGUUCAGUUGCUCACAUUGGUUAACACCCAUGCUUGCUUGUGAUAAUAGUUUUGUUAGCCGUAUCAGUGAAAGGUUUAACACUUCUACUGUAAUUUUGAGGAUGAAUUAAUUAACUUAAGGAAGAUUUUGAAGAUGGAGACUGUGCCACGCUGGAGGAAUAUGAAACGAAGUUCAGAAAACACAGUUUAAAUUAGAACCUCUGCCUUCCUCUGUAGGUUUGGAGUUCGAGUCUUUUGAGGAAGCUUAUGAGGGAUUGAGUGCAUUUUUUGAUGGUUAUGUACACAAACACAUAUCUUUUAAGGAUUUUUUUGAUAAUAUGAUCUAGCUCUUCGAAGAAA